CCUGGCGUCAGGAUGAACGCUAGCGACAGGCCGUAACACAUGCAAGUCGAGGGGCGAGCACAGAGGUAGCUUGCUACUUUGGGGUGGCGACCGGCGCACGGGUGAGUAACGCGUGAGAAACCUGCCUUUCAUGGGGGGACAACAGUUGGAAACGACUGCUAAUACCGCAUAAUGUACACGGACCGCAUGAUCUGUGUACCAAAGCUUUAUGUGCUGAAAGAUGGCCUCGCGUCUGAUUAGAUAGUUGGUGGGGUAACGGCCUACCAAGUCGACGAUCAGUAGCCGGACUGAGAGGUUGAACGGCCACAUUGGGACUGAGAUACGGCCCAGACUCCUACGGGAGGCAGCAGUGGGGAAUAUUGGGCAAUGGGCGCAAGCCUGACCCAGCAACGCCGCGUGAAGGAAGAAGGCUUUCGGGUUGUAAACUUCUUUUGUCAGGGAAGAGUAGAAGACUGUACCUGACGAAUAAGCCACGGCUAACUACGUG
This 487-nucleotide ribosomal RNA is filed under the name uncultured bacterium. Its description in RNAcentral is "bacterial SSU rRNA". It matches the Rfam family "Bacterial small subunit ribosomal RNA", at positions 18 to 507 of the family's 1533-position model. The record is from RNAcentral.